RNAcentral lists this ribosomal RNA (756 nucleotides) under uncultured bacterium. RNAcentral describes it as "bacterial SSU rRNA". It matches the Rfam family "Bacterial small subunit ribosomal RNA", at positions 8 to 751 of the family's 1533-position model. The record is from RNAcentral.
AGAGUUUGGAUCAUGGCUCAGAUUUGAAACGCCGGGCGGCAUGCCUAACGCAUGCAAGUCGAACGGUAACGCGAGGAGCUUGCUCCUUGGCGACGAGUGGCGGACGGGUGAGUAAUACUUAGGAAUCUGCCCAGUAGUGGGGGACAACUCGAGGAAACUCGAGCUAAUACCGCAUACGCCCUAUGGGGGAAAGCGGGGGCUCUUCGGACCUCGCGCUAUUGGAUGAGCCUAAGUCGGAUUAGCUUGUUGGUGAGGUAACUGCUCACCAAGGCGACGAUCCGUAGCUGGUCUGAGAGGACGAUCAGCCACACUGGGACUGAGACACGGCCCAGACUCCUACGGGAGGCAGCAGUGGGGAAUAUUGGACAAUGGGGGCAACCCUGAUCCAGCAAUGCCGCGUGUGUGAAGAAGGCCUGCGGGUUGUAAAGCACUUUCAGUAGAGAAGAAAAGCUAAAGGUUAAUACCCUUGAGUCUUGACGUAACCUACAGAAGAAGCACCGGCUAACUCCGUGCCAGCAGCCGCGGUAAUACGGAGGGUGCGAGCGUUAAUCGGAAUUACUGGGCGUAAAGCGCGCGUAGGCGGUUUUGUGAGUCGGAUGUGAAAUCCCUGGGCUUAACCUGGGAACUGCAUUCGAUACUGCAUAACUAGAGUAUGGUAGAGGGAAGUGGAAUUUCCGGUGUAGCGGUGAAAUGCGUAGAUAUCGGAAGGAACACCAGUGGCGAAGGCGACUUCCUGGGCCAAUACUGACGCUGAGG